Molecule: non-coding RNA, 78 nt
Organism: Potamilus streckersoni
Lineage: Eukaryota; Metazoa; Mollusca; Bivalvia; Unionida; Unionidae
Source: the annotation of a GenBank genome assembly
GACCACUACGGUAGCCUAAGAGGUUAGAGAGUCCGCCUCGGAUGCGGGAGGUCGCGGGUUUGAACCCUGGCAGAGUCA